GCGGGUGUAGCUCAGUGGUAGAGCACCUCCUUGCCAAGGAGGAUGUCGCGCGUUCGAACCGCGUCACCCGCU
RNAcentral lists this transfer RNA (72 nucleotides) under Prasiolopsis wulf-kochii. RNAcentral describes it as "tRNA-Gly". It matches the Rfam family "tRNA". Rfam says of the family: Transfer RNA (tRNA) molecules are approximately 80 nucleotides in length. The record is from RNAcentral. Lineage: Eukaryota; Viridiplantae; Chlorophyta; Trebouxiophyceae; Prasiolales; Prasiolaceae.